AUUGAACGCUGGCGGCAGGCUUAACACAUGCAAGUCGAGCGGGGAGAUGUAGCUUGCUACAUUACCUAGCGGCGGACGGGUGAGUAAUGCUUAGGAAUCUGCCUAUUAGUGGGGGACAACAUUCCGAAAGGAAUGCUAAUACCGCAUACGCCCUACGGGGGAACGCAGGCGAUCAUCGGACCUUGAGCUAAUAGAUGAGCCUAAGUCAGAUUAGCUAGUUGGUGGGGUAAAGGCCUACCAAGGCGACGAUCUGUAGCGGGUCUGAGAGGAUGGUCCGCCGCACUGGGACUGAGACACGGCCCAGACUCCUACGGGAGGCAGCAGGGGGGAAUAUUGGACAAUGGGCGAAAGCCUGAUCCAGCCAUGCCGCGUGUGUGAAGAAGGCCUUUUGGUUGUAAAGCACUUUAAGCGAGGAGGAGGCUACUUGGAUUAAUACUCUAGGAUAGUGGACGUUACUCGCAGAAUAAGCACCGGCUAACUCUGUGCCAGCCGCCGCCGUAA
Molecule: ribosomal RNA, 501 nt
Filed under: uncultured bacterium
Lineage: Bacteria
Description: partial 16S ribosomal RNA
Rfam family: Bacterial small subunit ribosomal RNA
Source: RNAcentral